RNAcentral lists this transfer RNA (66 nucleotides) under Carpilius convexus. RNAcentral describes it as "tRNA-Asn". The record is from RNAcentral. Lineage: Eukaryota; Metazoa; Arthropoda; Malacostraca; Decapoda; Carpiliidae.
UUGGUAGAAGCCAAAUAGCGGCAUAUCACUGUUAAUGAUAAUAUUGAAAUUUUUUUUCCUACUAAG